Molecule: long non-coding RNA, 3144 nt
Organism: Coturnix japonica (Japanese quail)
Lineage: Eukaryota; Metazoa; Chordata; Aves; Galliformes; Phasianidae
Source: RefSeq, a predicted model, not a curated record
GACAGCUGCAGACCCAUCUCCUGGUGAAUCAUUUGAUCUCUUGCCAGCCGUCUGAUCAGCUGAAAAGGCAUGGGUGAAGAUACUGCAGAUCCAUAGCCGGGGUCAUGAGCUCUGAUAUUUUGAUGAAAAAACUAAAAGAGGAAUGACUUCAGUCAGAUUGCUUCUACGACAUUGACAGGCCAGGAGAGCUGGGUGAGAUUCUCCAUUCUCCAUUCUCCAGCUAUAUGGAAAACUCAAGGAGGUGGCAGACCCUGUGGGGUUUUUUUGAGUGCAGUUUGCAUACCCCAUUUAAACCAAGCCUUUCAGUAGAGAAAAGCCUGGCAUAGAGAGUCUCCCUGUUCAGUGAUACAGAAGACCUGACUCUGCCAAGCUCCAGUGGUUUCAGCAGGUGCAGUGAUGUGUAGGGUCAAUGCCAGGAACAAGAUUUUGAGGAGAAGCUUCAGGAAACUUGAGAUGGAAGAGGAGAAGCUGUUAUGCAAACUGCUGUAGCUGUACUGAUAACAGGCAAUGUAAACAAGAAAUCCCCAGACCGUUAAACAACCUAUGAGCACCAGGAGUCCUCAAGGGUAUGCUUGGCUGGCACAGUUCAGCAAGGCCUCUUCUUGGAGAAAAUACCUCUUAUCUGGGUGGGCCACAUGGGCUUCCAGCAGGGUGCGGCCAUGGCCUGGGCUCACCUCAUCAUUUGACAGGACAAGUCACUGUGAUGCAUGUGUGCUGUGUUGUUCAGCUCUGUGUGAUAGCUCCAGGGCAAUGGCGAUUCAAAACAGCUGAUCACAUAGGAGGGGAGGGGGUUCCUAUUAAUGCCUUGCUCAGAACUUGUUUUCACAAGGAUUUUCCUUUUGCUGUCAUAUGUGGAAGAGCACAUCCUCAGACAAGGCCCUUCUAGCAAGCUCCCUAGUAAUGGUUUUUCUUAGAUAAGACAGUGAGUUGUGGCAAUCCAAAAACUGUUAUUCCCCCUUGCUUUCAUAAUAUUUACAGCAGUGUGAGCGUGCACACUCCCUCAGCAUGCACUGCAGACACUGAGACCGUGGAUCUGUGGCACACCUAGGCUCACCUGCCAUCAUUUAGCUGGAUCUGUAAUGUGGCCUCAGCUCUUAGGAUAAGCUGACUACUGAGCCAGGCUACACCAGUGAUAGUCCUUGUUUCUAAACACUCCCUCCCUCCCCACAUUUUAAACAUUUUCUUAGGAAGCCUGGGAAGUCCAUGUGAAUGAUUCAGUAAAGAAGUAACAAUCUGCAUAAGUGACACAGACUGACGUAGGAGUUUCCCAGAAAAGAGGUACUGGAGCUUAGAAAGUGAAUCUAUCCGAACAUUAUCACUGCGUCCCAUCAUUAUUGCAUGUAUCUGGAAUUCCCAGAUUAGGUUUCCUUGGUUCAUCUCCAGUCAGAAUCAAAGAGUGAAGCCUUUCUGACUGUAUUCAAAUCUUCAUAUCCCAGUUGCUCACAGGGGAGCUAGCUGAAGCUGGCCAAAGCUUCAGCUCAUACACCCAGCUUGUCCUGUGGUAAUGAGCUUGCAAGGAGAGGUGGUGUUAUGCCCUGAAACAGAAUCAGGACACACUUGAGGAACAUGCCUGAACUCAGAAUCUCAAAGAAUGUUCUCCCAUACUUGGUAAUACAUACCUUGGUUUAUGUGCAUCUAAGUCCAUGAAAAUGCAUGUUCUUUUCUUUGAGCUGCCAUCUUCAAAGAUUCCCAGCUCACAAAAAUCAUUAUCAGAAGUUAGGCAGCUGGUCUUUUCUGGUCUCUUUAAAUAUCAGCUCUACUCUGUAGAGUCUUCAGAUUGGACUGGCUGACUGUAGGCUCCUCACCAAAAAAGUAUGGGUGCCCAUAUCUAUCAGUGCCUGUAUGUUUGUGUCUGACAUCUGUCUGCAAGCUUUUACCUGAGUAACUUCUGAACCAAACCUGGCUCUGAAGCUUUGAGAACUGGUUCCCACUGAAAGAUACUGGAAUUAUUUAUCUUUUUAAAUUUUUAUCUAGAGAGCACUAAGAACCUAAUUUCCUAGCCCAGCAUCUUUAUCAGUUUAAAGUUAUUGACAUAUUUGUUAGUACUGAUGCAUCUGAUAUUACAUAGCUACAUUCCCAUGUCAGAUAAAUAGCCCACUGUGCAAUGGGAUACUGUCAUUUUCCAUCCAUUCUCAGCAAAUAAUCUAAUCAUGAACCUUGAAAGAGGCCAGGAAUGUAAGGCUCAGCAUACACAAGGUAUGGCUGAUCAAGGAUAGUUCUCCAAGGACAAUUCUCCUUAAAAAACCCUGACCUGUUUGAUAUGAAACUUCUGCAGGGAGCUACAGUUUCAGCAGACAUUUUUCCAUUUUUGAAAUGCAAAACAGGACUCCAUUUUCCAUCUAAUACAGCCUGUUAGCCAACAGUGGUAACACUGGUUGUCACUUAGGGCAUGUGAGUUGCAGAAGAGUCGCCCAUGAGCAGUGGCUGAAGUCAGACAUCAGGCAUCCUAGGUGAAUUCUUUCCCUGCCUGGCUAAAGGAUUAGUUUCAAUCCAUUGGUGGUUUGAUUCUCUAUGAAUAGAAGUAAUUACUGAGAUAAAGAAAAUUAAUUAAAGUGCCCAGUUGUUCUGGCAGUCAUCAGAGUCAAAAGAAGACUGAAUUCACAUCCUUACUUUAAUGGUUAAGCUUCCUGAGAACCAAACAGACUUAGGCUGAGAUAGGUGGUUGUGGAGCCAUAAAGGUGUUGUUGUUUGCUCUCAGCAGUUUGAUUUCCUGGCUCUCCACUGAGUAUUACAGCUUAAGGAUUGACAUCUAGGUCAAAACUACAUUUUGGUUAAUAUUCACAUUUCAAGGCCUAGUUGGGCUGUGAUGUGAAUCUGGCUUUGGAUUCUAACAGACCAAAGUCUCGUACAUUUGCGGAUAUCACAGAUGUUCUGCUUAGAACAGAUAUAACUUAAAAACAGAACAGGAAACCAAACCCAGCCAGAUCUGACUGCAACACAGAAAACAGACUGGACUGGUGUUUUCAUAACUGUACUUUGUACACCCAGAAAUCAAAGGCAUUUUAGAUCUUCAUUUUUUUGGUUUGGCUCAUUGUUAAUGAAAAGCUCAAUAGUACCUAUCCUUUUGGAUCAGAAACAUGAGCACAUGACAGCAGCAGUGAAAAUGCCAGUGAACACGUUAGAAGUUUUAUGGCUCUAAAAAGG